UACAGGGCUGGUGCUGUAUCCACUGUGCCUCCUAGCUGCCCCUCCAUGGUUUUUAAAAUUGACAUUUUUCUAAGUAUUAGAGCUUUGGUGUUUUCUGUGGUUGUUGGCAACUUGCAUUUCCUCUUUUAGAAACUGCCUGUUCAUAAUUCUUGAUCACUUGUUGAUUGGAAAAUAGCUUUGGUUUGUUUGUGGGUCAUUGAACCUAUGGGAGCUAAUGAGAUCAGUAAGGAAGACAGUGUAGACAGAGAAGAGCCUUAGUCUCAUCUCUCAGCCCCAGAUUCCUCAUCUAAAAAAGGGUUAUGAUAAUACCUACCUCAUAGCAUUAUUGUUGUUGCUAUUUAGUCAUGUGCAACUCUCUGUGUAGACAGAGAAGGGGGUCCAGGACAGAGCUUUGGGAUAUGCCCACUGUUAGGGGGCAUGAUGUGAAUAUGAGGACUGAAAAGGGACAGCCAGACGGGUAGAAGGAAGACAAGAGAUGGAGUCCAAGAAUUGAAGCAUCUGCCCAAGAAAUGGUCAUCCAUUCUCUGUUUGAGGGUCCCCAAGGUUGGAGAGACCCAAGACUCCAGGAGGUGGCCGCCAGAACAGACCACUAUGCUCCAUCUGCAGUCUGACAAGAGCCAGGAGCCAUGGGGCUAUCAUAUUCCCAUUCCCAGAAACUGCCCUCCGAAUGCAUCCUGUGAUCCCAAUCACAUUGGCAGUCACGAGGCACCAUAAAGUCACAUUCACCUUGCAGGCCACCAAAAUCCCCAGAGGUUUUUCGGAACAACUGUUGCCCAACUAUAUUUCCUGGAACUUGUCCUGGGGAAGUUCAUUAUUUGUCCCAUUGUGCAAGACUGUACAUUUCUGCUUAUUGAAUUUCAUGUUAUUAGCCUCAGCCCAUCGAGAUCUGACUCUGUCUUGUGGUAUGUAAGCUCUUCCACCCAGCUCAGUGGCAUCUGCCAAUCUGAUGAGCAUACCUUCAAUGUCUUUAUCCAAGUCAUUGAUAAAAAUGUUCCAGGACCUGUACAGAUCCAGGGGGUCUGUGUGGGUCUCCCCCAGAGACCUUCUGCCACGUUGAUGCUAUACUACUAGCUACUCUGACUCUUGCCAUCCAACUUGUUCUGAAUUGAUCUGAUUUGUCAUCUGGUUCAUCUCCAUGACAGUACUAGGAGAUAUUUUAUCAAAAACUUUGAUCAGCAGAGUAUAUCCACAGCAUUUUCUCAGUUUAGUAAUACUGCCAGAAAUGGAAAUGAGGUUGGUCUGGCAUAACUCAUGCUUGCUGAAGCCAGGUUGGCUCUUCGAAGCCACUGCUUCUCUUUCUAGAUGUUUGACAACCAUCUCUUUAAUGAUCGAUUCCUGAACUUUCCUAGGAAUUCAAGUCAAGCUCAUAGGCUUAUCACAGCUUGCAGACUUAUUCUGUUCUCUUUUCUGGAAAAAAAAAAGGGGGGGGAUAACAUUUGUCUUUCGGCAAUCUUGUGCCAUCUCUCCCACUUUCCAGAAUCUUUCCAAUGUCCCUGACAGUAACUCAGCAAUUACACCUUUCAGUGCCUUUAGGACCCAAGGGUGGAGAUCAUCUGGUCCGGGACACUUGAACUGCCCGAAAGCAGUGAAGGCUUCUAUUACUAUCUCCUCACUUAUCUUGGGGAUCAACUCCCUGGGAGUCACUUUUGUUUUGUCCUUUCUAGCGCAAAGAUCAUUCUUCUUGGCAGAGGAAACAGAAACAAAACAGGAAUUCUUAAAGGUCUGGAUGUAAUCUGGGACUCCUGGGAGGAGGAAACUGCUCUGUUCCUGGCAUGGCAGUGGCUGAUGGUGUGGCGAGGCACCUGUAUCCAGAGCAUAGAUACACCAGCACAGAGAGAUGCCAUGAGAUAGUCACCGAAGAAAGACAGCUUCAGGAAGUGUGAGCCCACCAUGGCAGAGAGUGGUGCUAGCUAUGACCACGACAAAAUCUUUGGAACCUAGCUGAGUGGGCCAAGCCCUGUGAAGAAGCAUCACUGGUCCAGGGGAGCUGCCUGAGAAAUCAACAAGGAAGGGAAGGACUCCCAAAGUCAGGAGUCUGGAAGUACCCCCCUCCAUGGGGGCCUCACCGCUAUGAUCCUAUAUGUUUGAAACACUCUCCCCAUGGAUACCGGGUCUAGCCAUGGGAGAGUAGGCCCCAUGUUCUGGAGAAAAUGUUUUGUAAAGAACUUUCCUACUAUGCUAUCUUAGUAAAUAAAUGCCUUCCUAGAAGCAAA
This is a long non-coding RNA of Vombatus ursinus (common wombat), 2213 nucleotides long. RefSeq lists it as uncharacterized. The record is from RefSeq and is a predicted model, not a curated record. NCBI's taxonomy places the organism in Eukaryota, Metazoa, Chordata, Mammalia, Diprotodontia, Vombatidae. The transcript has 2 exons.